AGUGAACGCUGGCGGCGUGCUUAACACGUGCAAGUCGAACGAGUAAGUGCUGUAGCAAUACAGAUUACUGCUAGUGGCAGACGGGUGAGUAAUACAUGGGAAUCUUCCUUGGAGUCUGGGAUAACUGUUGGAAACGACAGCUAAUACCGGAUAUUGCCGAGAGGUGAAAGAAUUUCGCCCCAAGAUGAGCCCAUGCAAGAUUAGCUAGUUGGUAGGGUAAUGGCCUACCAAGGCGAAGAUCUUUAGCUGGUCUGAGAGGAUGAUCAGCCACACUGGAACUGAGACACGGUCCAGACUCCUACGGGAGGCAGCAGUGGGGAAUAUUGGACAAUGGGCGAAAGCCUGAUCCAGCGACGCCGCGUGGGUGAUGAAGGCCUUCGGGUUGUAAAGCCCUUUCGUCAGGGAAGAUAAUGACGGUACCUGAAGAAGAAGCUCCGGCUAACUUCGUGCCAGCAGCCGCAGUAA
RNAcentral lists this ribosomal RNA (465 nucleotides) under uncultured bacterium. RNAcentral's name for it is "partial 16S ribosomal RNA". It matches the Rfam family "Bacterial small subunit ribosomal RNA", at positions 29 to 523 of the family's 1533-position model. The record is from RNAcentral.